CGGUUCGAGUCCGCUUACCUCCACUGAUCGACCUCCUUCUAACGAAUUACAAGGAGAUUGACUUUGUUGGAUGUGAUUUAGAUUUGUUCAAACGAAAAGAACCUAGCUUCUUAUCAUUCCUUUUAAUUAAAUUGAUAAUUAACUUGGUUGAUAUGACGCUGGGCUCACUGAGAAUUUAAAAAUCUCAGAGAAGUUCAGUA
RNAcentral lists this unclassified non-coding RNA (200 nucleotides) under uncultured cyanobacterium. RNAcentral describes it as "partial 16S-23S ribosomal RNA intergenic spacer". Lineage: Bacteria; Bacillati; Cyanobacteriota. The record is from RNAcentral.